UCUGUGACUCCUACGGGGAGGCAGCAGUGGGGAAUAUUGCACAAUGGGGGAAACCCUGAUGCAGCCAUGCCGCGUGUGUGAAGAAGGCCUUCGGGUUGUAAAGCACUUUCAGUAGGGAGGAAGGUAGUGUAGUUAACACCUGCACUAUUUGACGUUACCUACAGAAGAAGCACCGGCUAACUCCGUGCCAGCAGCCGCGGUAAUACGGAGGGUGCGAGCGUUAAUCGGAAUUACUGGGCGUAAAGCGCAUGCAGGCGGCCUGUUAAGUCAGAUGUGAAAGCCCGGGGCUUAACCUCGGAAUUGCAUUUGAAACUGGCAGGCUAGAGUCUUGUAGAGGGGGGUAGGAAUUUCAGGUGUAGCGGUGAAAUGCGUAGAGAUCUGAAGGAAUACCAGUGGCGAAGGCGGCCCCCUGGACAAAGACUGACGCUCAGAUGCGAAAGCGUGGGGAGCAAACAGGAUUAGAUACCCUGGUAG
This 474-nucleotide ribosomal RNA is filed under the name uncultured bacterium. RNAcentral describes it as "bacterial SSU rRNA". It matches the Rfam family "Bacterial small subunit ribosomal RNA", at positions 329 to 793 of the family's 1533-position model. The record is from RNAcentral.